AGUCGAACGGGUGUAGCAAUACAUCAGUGGCAAACGGGUGAGGAAUGUACAGGAAUCUCCCUAGCAGUAAGGAAUAACUCUGAGAAAUCAGAGCUAAUGCCAUAUAUUACCCUCCGGGGAAAAGAUUUAUCGCUGUUAGAUGAGCCUGUAUCGGAUUAGCUAGUUGGUGAGGUAAUGGCUCACCAAGGCAAUGAUCCGUAGCUGGUCUGAGAGGAUGAUCAGCCACACUGGAACUGAGACACGGUCCAGACUCCUACGGGAGGCAGCAGUGGGGAAUAUUGGACAAUGGGCGCAAGCCUGAUCCAGCAAUACCGCGUGGGUGAUGAAGGUCUUCGGAUUGUAAAGCCCUUUUAGUGAGGAAGAUAAUGACGGUACUCACAGAAAAAGCACCGGCAAACUUCGUGCCAGCAGCCGCGGUAAUACGAAGGGUGCUAGCGUUGUUCGGAAUUACUGGGCGUAAAGCGUACGUAGGCGGUUUGGUAAGUCGAUUGUGAAAGCCCUAGGCUCAACCUGGGAACUGCAACCGAAACUGCCUUACUUGAAUUUGGUAGGGGAUGGCGGAAUUCCUAGUGUAGGGGUGAAAUCCGUAGAGAUUAGGAAGAACACCAGUGGCGAAGGCGGCCAUCUAUGCCAAUAUUGACGCUAAGGUACGAAAGCGUGGGGGAGCAAACAGGAUUAGAUACCCUGGUAGUCCACGCCCUAAACGAUGAGUGCUAGUUGUCGGG
Molecule: ribosomal RNA, 725 nt
Filed under: uncultured Rickettsiales bacterium
Lineage: Bacteria; Pseudomonadati; Pseudomonadota; Alphaproteobacteria; Rickettsiales
Description: bacterial SSU rRNA
Rfam family: Bacterial small subunit ribosomal RNA
Source: RNAcentral